CUACGGGAGGCACCAGUGAGGAAUAUUGCACAAUGGGGGGAACCCUGAUGCAGCAACGCCGCGUGGAGGAUGACGCAUUUCGGUGUGUAAACUCCUUUUAUAUGUCAAGAAAAUGACGGUAGCAUAUGAAUAAGCACCGGCUAACUCCAUGCCAGCAGCCGCGGUAAUACGGAGGGGUGCAAGCGUUACUCGGAAUCACUGGGCGUAAAGGACGCGUAGGCGGGUUGGAAAGUCAGGUGUGAAAUCCUACAGCUUAACUGUAGAACUGCACUUGAAACUUCUAAUCUAGAGUAUGGGAGGGGGAGAUGGAAUUAGUGGUGUAGGGGUAAAAUCCGUAGAUAUCACUAGGAAUACCUAAAGCGAAGGCGAUCUCCUGGAACAUUACUGACGCUAAGGCGUGAAAGCGUGGGGAGCAAACAGGAUUAGAUACCCCCGUAGUC
This 440-nucleotide ribosomal RNA is filed under the name uncultured bacterium. Its description in RNAcentral is "partial 16S ribosomal RNA". It matches the Rfam family "Bacterial small subunit ribosomal RNA", at positions 339 to 795 of the family's 1533-position model. The record is from RNAcentral.